GACGAACGCUGGCGGCGUGCCUAAUACAUGCAAGUAGAACGCUGAAGCUUGGUGCUUGCACCGAGCGGAUGAGUUGCGAACGGGUGAGUAACGCGUAGGUAACCUGCCUGGUAGCGGGGGAUAACUAUUGGAAACGAUAGCUAAUACCGCAUAACAGUAGAUAUCGCAUGAUAGCUACUUGAAAGGUGCAAAUGCACCACUACCAGAUGGACCUGCGUUGUAUUAGCUAGUUGGUGAGGUAACGGCUCACCAAGGCAACGAUACAUAGCCGACCUGAGAGGGUGAUCGGCCACACUGGGACUGAGACACGGCCCAGACUCCUACGGGAGGCAGCAGUAGGGAAUCUUCGGCAAUGGACGGAAGUCUGACCGAGCAACGCCGCGUGAGUGAAGAAGGUUGUCGGAUCGUAAAGCUCUGUUGUAAGAGAAGAACGAGUGUGAGAGUGGAAAGUUCACACUGUGACGGUAUCUUACCAGAAAGGGACGGCUAACUACGUG
RNAcentral lists this ribosomal RNA (497 nucleotides) under uncultured bacterium. RNAcentral describes it as "partial 16S ribosomal RNA". It matches the Rfam family "Bacterial small subunit ribosomal RNA", at positions 28 to 507 of the family's 1533-position model. The record is from RNAcentral.